RNAcentral lists this ribosomal RNA (451 nucleotides) under uncultured Fibrobacter sp. RNAcentral describes it as "bacterial SSU rRNA". It matches the Rfam family "Bacterial small subunit ribosomal RNA", at positions 341 to 792 of the family's 1533-position model. Lineage: Bacteria; Pseudomonadati; Fibrobacterota; Fibrobacteria; Fibrobacterales; Fibrobacteraceae. The record is from RNAcentral.
ACGGGAGGCAGCAGUAGGGAAUAUUGCACAAUGGGGGAAACCCUGAUGCAGCAACGCCACGUGUGGGAAGACGCAUUUCGGUGUGUAAACCACUGUCGUGAGGGAAUAAGGCUGAGUUUCGGCUCAGUUGAAUGUACCUCGAAAGGAAGCACCGGCAAACUUCGUGCCAGCAGCCGCGGUAAUACGAGGGGUGCAAGCGUUGUUCGGAAUCACUGGGCGUAAAGGGAGUGCAGGCGGAAGUGCAAGCGGUCUGUACAAUACCGGGGCCCAACCCCGGACCUGCAGACCGGACUGCAUUUCUUGGAUAGUUCAGGGGCAAGCGGAAUUCCUGGUGUAGCGGUGGAAUGCGUAGAGAUCAGGAAGAACACCGAUGGCGAAGGCAGCCAGCUGGGGGCUUAUCGACGCUCAUGCUCGAAAGUGCGGGUAGCAAACAGGAUUAGAUACCCUGGUA